Molecule: non-coding RNA, 188 nt
Filed under: Deltaproteobacteria bacterium
Lineage: Bacteria; Pseudomonadati; Myxococcota; Myxococcia
Description: 6S RNA
Rfam family: 6S / SsrS RNA
About the family: E. coli 6S RNA was the first non coding RNA to be sequenced, but its function was unknown until recently.
Source: RNAcentral
ACGGUUCUGGGAUGCGCGGUACGCUGGCCGGAGGCAUGACCAACACGUUAUCUGAUCCUGCCCGUGUCGGCCUGCGGUGAGCAGGCCCGCCCAGGUAGCGGGAAGCCUGAAGCAGGUUGCCGGGCGGGGCUGGUCCGGACCGGAUAAGGGCUCAUGCCCCCAGUCGCAACCGGCAUCCCGGAAACGCC